AUUGAACGCUGGCGGCAUGCCUAACACAUGCAAGUCGAACGGAGGUAGGGGCAACUCUACUUCAGUGGCGGACGGGUGAGGAAUGCGUCGGAAUCUACCCUAUGGUGGGGGAUAACACAGGGAAACUUGUGCUAAUACCGCAUAAUGUCGAGAGACCAAAGCAGGGGACCGCAAGGCCUUGCGCGAUAGGAUGAGCCGACGCCCGAUUAGCUAGUUGGUAGGGUAAAGGCCUACCAAGGCGACGAUCGGUAGCUGGUCUGAGAGGAUGAUCAGCCACACUGGGACUGAGACACGGCCCAGACUCCUACGGGAGGCAGCAGUGGGGAAUAUUGGACAAUGGGCGCAAGCCUGAUCCAGCAAUGCCGCGUGUGUGAAGAAGGCCUGCGGGUUGUAAAGCACUUUUGUUCGGGAAGAAAUCAAUGCUGGUUAAUACCUGGUAUGGCUGACGGUACCGAAAGAAUAAGCACGGCUAACUACGUGCUAGCAGCCGC
This 491-nucleotide ribosomal RNA is filed under the name uncultured bacterium. Its description in RNAcentral is "bacterial SSU rRNA". It matches the Rfam family "Bacterial small subunit ribosomal RNA", at positions 30 to 518 of the family's 1533-position model. The record is from RNAcentral.